This is a long non-coding RNA of Pseudoliparis swirei, 893 nucleotides long. RefSeq lists it as uncharacterized. The transcript is spliced from 2 exons. The record is from RefSeq and is a predicted model, not a curated record. Lineage: Eukaryota; Metazoa; Chordata; Actinopteri; Perciformes; Liparidae.
CAUCUGGGGAUGGCAAACAUGAAGCUAAUGCAAGAAGUGGAGACCAGAUGGAACAGCACAUAUUUGAUUCUGCAACGUUUGAUGGAGCAAAGGGAGCCAGUAGGAGCAGCGUUAGCUGGUUUACAACAUGACGUCUCCUUCCUAACAGCAGAAAAAUUCAACAUUGUUCGAGCGUGCCUUUCUUUGCUGUCUCCCUUCUUUGAUGCCACUGUAGAGCUGUCGGCAGAGGAAAAUGUGUCUGCCUCCAAAGUGGUUCCCCUGGUGAAGAUGCUGGAGCACACCCUUCAGGAGGAAAUGACAAAGCCGGCACCUGCAGCAGCAUUGGAAAUGGGAAACCAGCUCAUCAGGCAACUCCGUGAGAAGCUGUACACUUUGCAGUCGAUGAGCAUCAUGUCUCUUGCUACCCUCCUGGACCCCGAUUUAAAGUCAUAGGAUUUUUCAGCCAAACAAAAGCCACCGAAGCAAUAAAACGACUGACCUCCGAGUGUGCCACCAUUAUACGGUCAAAACAAAGCAGAGAGGAAAUCCCCCAGGCUUCCACCUCUCAUGAUGUCACAGGAGGCAGCAAACUGUGGCAUCGUUUAGACACCAGCGUCAUGGAGGCACAGAAGACUCAAAAUGUAACAGCAGAUGCCACUGUGGAGGUCCAGCGCUACCUUUCCGAGCCAAAUAUAAGCAGGCUGGAAAACCCUCUGGAGUACUGGGAGAGGCAAAAAUUCCUGUAUCAAAAUUUAUAUAGACUUGCUCUUGCGUUUUUGUGCACGCCAGCAUCUUCUGUACCCUGUGAAAGGGUGUUUUCAAAGGCCGGAGAGGUUGUGUCAAAAAAAAGGAAUCGCUUAAAACCAAAAACUGUUGAGAAACUGUUAUUUCUGAAUAAAAAUGAAUAAAAUGUC